GUCUGUAUGUCAAAUGUGUUGCUGAUUGGUCAAUAAAUAAAUCACUGAUUGGCCAUUGGCUAGGCAGGAAGUAUAGGCGGGACAAGGAGGAGAAUAGAGCUGGGAAGUGGAAGGCUGAGAGAGGGACACUGCGAGCCGCCAUCAGGACAAGGAAGAUGUAAAGUACCGGCAGUAGCUCAAGAGGCAAACUCAGGCUGGCAAUUAGCUGUCAGCUGAUCACCAAUUCAAAUGUCCUGGAGUGGGCCGGGCUGAUGAUCUGCACUUGCAGUAAUCAUUUGGCUGGGUGAAUCAAAUUAUACUUUCCAAUGCCACUUCAAAUCAGGAUUGCUCUGUCUGCAUUCAUUUUUGGCAAUUUGGUUUUGACAGAAAAUGAACUUGAUUUCUUUGUGCCAUCUAGCUUUCAAAUUACCCUGCCCACAUCUGUCAGAUGCCUUCAUGGUUCAAUUAUAAAAAACUGUAUCCAGGCUGGAUCAUGAGUCUGCUGUUUGCCACAACCACAGACGCCCUUGGGUUGAACAUCAGGCUCCCUGCAAUCUUCCCAAAGAAGGAAAUAUACUUCCAGCUGUUACACCAGACUCAUCCUUCGUGGAGAGAGGGGGAGCACAGCAAGUGAGCCCUUUGUAGAGUGCGUAAAAUAUGCAGAUGGGGAGACAGGAGGCAGCAGGAAGAGUGGAAAUAGAUUUACCAAAAUCAUGUACACUCCUGUAGAAACAGCCAGGGUGGAUUGACUGUGUGGAGUAUGUACUUUGCCCAGAGAUAACGAAUAUUUUUGUCCUGAAUUACCCUAUGUAUCAGUGCCAUGCAUGUUUCUCAACAAUGCUCAUUUUCUAAUUCAUAUUCUGCCAUCAGUGUCUUUGAAUUACACAGGGAACAUAUCUUUUUUUCUCCAGUCUAGUUUGUCUUUCUUAGGUGCUGUCCAGGGAAAUUUCAAUACCAUGUUGUUUUGUCAACAUUUUAGGUAUUUUAGAAAGACAAAGGAUCUCAUUAGAUGAGUGAUUUUCUAGCCAAAUGAGAACCAACCCAGGUACCAGUUGUUCCAAUUUCCUCUGGGAUUUCUUGCCUGCCACCUAAGUUUAGAGCUUAGAGGCCAGCAAGAUUCUGACUUUGCAGAACCCAACACUACAAUGACCUCCUAAUUGGUUUUCCUGUUUGGAUUCUUCUUCUCACACCUGUUCAUUUCCACACAGCAAUGUUAGUAAGAAGUAUGAAGUGCUCCUUGUCAAUGGCUUCCUUCCAGCCCUCCAGUGAUGACACUGCCCUAAGAGGGUUCCUGACUGCCAUGGAAUUCCGCCUUAGCUCAUCUUGGUUCCCACCUGAUCUGUCAUUCCACUCCAAUCCCCUGACAGCCUUGUUCCUCAUGGGAUGCUCUUUUCCCAGCUUCUUCCUUCUUGGCUUCUGGUAUCACGGUUCUUGGUCAACGUCAUCUACAAGUAAACCCAUCUUACUUAGUACCCCUUCCCCAUUACUUUUCUUCCCUUUGUUUUUGAGAUUGUAAUAUAAUUACAUCAUUUCUCCCUUCCCUUUCCUCCCUUUGAUCCCUCCCAUAUACCCCUCCUUGUUCUCUUUCAAAUUCAUGGCCUCCUUUCUUAUUGAUGGUUGUUACAUGCAUAUAUGUAUAUGCAUAUAUAUUCCUAAAUAUAAACUGCUCAGUCUGUAUGUUACUUGUAUGUUUUCAGGGCUGACCAUUUGGCAUUGGAUAACCAAUAAGCAUGCUGUUCCCACUGGAAGACUAUUUUUCCUAUUCUAAUAUCCCUUAGUUGCCUGUAGUUCUUUUAUAUAGCAAUGAGGCCCCAUGGGCUUCCCCUGUCCACUUUGGAGUGUCUGUUGGUGUCAUCCUUGUUUAGGUCAUACUUCGGCAGUCAUAUUGGUGAGACUUCACAGGUGUAGCUUCUGACAUUACUAGGCAGAAGAGCCUUGCAGCAAACUCCCUGAUCCUCUGGGUCUCACAAUCUUCUCCCCGACUCCUCCAUAACGUUCCAUAAGCUUUAGAUGCAGGAGUAGAUGUAGCCACUGGGACUGGGAUCCACAACUCUGUAUUUUGAUUGGUUGUGGUUUUCUGUAACAGCUAUAUAAGCUUCCAAAGGAGGGAAGCAACCAACAGUCCCACCCAGCAAUGACACCCAUGAACCACAACAACAACCAGCAUAGCAUAAUAACCCUAAGGGUACAAGAGUGGCAUGCAUACCUUGGCAGUAGCCAUCAGUUUUCUGCGACUUAAUACCAGUUCACCAAGAGGGAAAGCAUGCCUGCUACUGGAAAUAUGGCCUAGGGCUACUGAAAUAGUAUAUCUUGGAGAAGAGACAAACAUCACUUCACUGAACCUAUACCUGACUGCACUCUAAAUAAUUUGCCCUUAUACCCACAUAUCAGUAUUGUUCUCACCCCUCAUCAAGGAGACUUCUCUUCGCAAGACAGAGAACAUUAUAGAAACCCCAUUACUUUUUCUCGGAUCACAGUGAUUACUUUCUUCAUAAAAUAUGCCAUCAUUUUAAAUCACACGGGUUGUUUUCUUACUUGUGUCUUUCCCACUAGAAGGAAAUUUUGAAGUGGGUAUAAACUUCCUAUGUCUUACUCCCUGCUCCAUCCUCACAUUCCAAAAAUAUAUCCUGGUAUGUUCUAAGCCAAUGGGGAAAAAUGUUUUGAGGUACUAAAUAGUAUAAAACAUACCACCAGUUCAUGUUUCACCAGUUAUUUUCGAAAUAUACAAACCUAAUGUUGAAUACCAGUGUUCUACUGUUAAAUCUCUUGUCUCUUCCUAAUAUGACAAUCUACAUAAGAAUCGUUUUUCAAACUAAGACACUGUCUUUGGAAAUUGAAGAAGAAAAAGGGAAAGGGGGGGAAGAAAUGGGGUGGGGGACAAGCUGAAGCACACCAGAAAACUCUAGGCUGCUUUCUUUUUCAUUAUAAGUCAGACAAGGUUCAUGAGAGUAAGCAUCAGCACUCGGCACUUCAGGAGUUGAAAAUUAGACCAAAUGAAUUGGAGGACAACUGCGUCUCAUGUUAAUGUUUUCCUCUUCGAAUGAAGAAAAUGAGAUGAUGUGAGCCAUGACUCCAUUUGAAAAUGAAAUUUCGUAUUUCUAUUUGCUUCUACAUUAAAGCAGACUUUUUUUUUUCAUUUUAGACUCUUCGUUGUUGGUAAAUGUUUCAAUAUUUUACAUUUAUUAGGAUCAGGCCCAUUUACUAUUGUGCAAGUCAGACAAGCACAGAUAGAGAGUCCCUCUAAAGCAUCAUUUCUAAAUUACACAGUAAACAAAUGAGACUAAGCUAGAAACCUCACAACCCUUCCACUAAUGUGUUAAAAAACAAAACAAAACAAUAAAGCACUGGCCAAAGUGUCCUACUUUUAAGAGGUAAAUUUUCAAAUAGUCCACUGCAUUUUUACUGGUUCAAGGGAACAGCUUAUCCAGGAAUACCAGAACAUCCAGGUAGAUACCCUACCUGUCUCAUAACAUACAAAAAUGUUCAAAAAUAAGCCUAUAAUCAGAUUUUUUUGCCUAUCUUUUGCAAAUAGUAACACAUAAGAAACUUGAUUUUGCUCGGAAAUAUACGUUGAUUUCUGAUUAGCUGAUUAUAGAAGUCAGAAGAAAUGCCAAAAUGAAGAGAUGACUCACCAGGGGAUGACAGCGAGCAAGUGUCUUGAAAUUUAUAAUUGUCCUUGGAUCUACUUAAUUUAGCUUAAAGUCACGAGGCAUCAUUGAGACAAAUGGCUGCACAGAGCAGGUACCAGACAUGACGAGAGGCUGCCUGUGAUCAUUUUUUUUUUUUUUUUUGUUGCACUAUUUCCACCCGAGGACUUUUUCAGCCAACACUUUUCCUAUAAUGGCUAUUAAAUUUGAUAGGAUUUUUCCCACCAUUAGCUGUAAUGGCAUUUACAUGUUAAAUGCUCGCAACAAACGAAACCCACGAUUCCAUUGUUUCACAGGGUGAAAGCCAUGAUUACUGCUCUUCGAGGUGGAGAACACAUCUAAAAAGCAUCGUCUAAUUCCUUCCCCUUGCAUGGUACCUAUGUGAGCUCUGUGGGGAAAAGCCUGUUUGCUUUGCAGCUCUUCUAUUUUUGAAACAAGAUAGAUUCUUGCACAUGCAAGAAAACUGAAGAUUUCACCAUCAGCCAAGCAGAAGACACCUCAAAUGUUAUUUUUGUCUAGGGGACUGACUUGUUUACGAUUAGAUAAAAUUCUCCCUCAAGUACAUUUGACUGAGAAGUUGUCCUUUCACAGAGCUUCAAGCAAACAGUUCACUGGCCACUUAUGGCUAUGUGUUUGUUUGUCUGUUUGUUUUUUUAAUGAAAAAGAAUGGAACAACACUCUCCAGGAUUUGUGCCUGAAGCUCUCCUCCAUCACGGAAACAGCAGGGAUGGCAGACAUUUAGGAUUUCUCAGCCAAUUUUCUUCUCCAAGAAAACUCAGCAACUUACCCUAAACAUUUUAGAUCUUACUGUUCCAGAUUAUUAUUCUGGGUUACUAUUUGUCAGGAGAUAUUCAGGGUCAUUGGGAUCUAGUAAAAUAAGGUCUGAGAAGCUGUAUCAAUGGUUCUAUAAAACUAUUAAAAUACACAGCUGUGUGAUCCGUCUAGAACUUUUUGACUUCGUUUCCCGUUUCUCUGCCACCAAUAACUUUCCACGGCACUGUCACCCCCACCCAGAGUAGCAAACAAGCUGCGGGAUCUUCACAUUCUGUGGACCAAAUGUCUUCACAAGAACUCAGCUGUUCCAAGGAUGCUUCGGAAAGGACGGGGUUCCUGUGGUUACGAAACCAGUGUUCCAGCUUCGGAACUUUUCCUUUCCUUUGUGCUUUAACUGUUUGCUGUGGGCCUUCGGCGUGCUUAUUUUGUUUGGGUUUUUAUUUUGUGGUGCUGUAGAUCGAGCCUAAGCCCUCACACUUCCCGAGCAAACACUCUGUCAAUAAGCUAAAAGAUACACGCUCGGGCCCAGAAUUUUCGUCUUAGUUUGAUCUUUCGAGCUAAUGCACUGGUAUAUAUUUGAACCAUUUUUUGUUUCUCUUCUAUAUAUUGUUGAUACCUAAGUUAUCUGACCAAUAAGGGGUCCCAUAUAAGAACCUGGAUUGAUUUUAAAUUGUAUGUUAUGUGCUGUUUUUAAAAAGGACAUCCUCGUAAAUUGCUCGAGGCUCCAUUCCAAGUAGGUUUCGAACUGUGUUGGUUUGGAUGAUAAUGGUCCCCAUAGGUUCAUAUGUUUGAAUCUUGGUCCCCAGUUGGUGGAACUGUUUGGGAGGGAAUGGGUGACCGUGUCGGAGGAGACGUGCCUUGGGCACAAGCUCUGAAGCCUCAAAAGCCCCCUGCCAUUCCUAAUGCACCCUAUGCCUCCUGCUUGCCAUUUAAGAUAUGAGUUCUCAGCUGUUCAACUCAA
Peromyscus californicus insignis is the source of this 5361-nucleotide long non-coding RNA. RefSeq lists it as uncharacterized. Lineage: Eukaryota; Metazoa; Chordata; Mammalia; Rodentia; Cricetidae. The record is from RefSeq and is a predicted model, not a curated record. The transcript has 3 exons.